GUCCACUGGAGCCGAUUCCAAGCGCGUUGCGCACGCCUUUGGAAGUGCCAAGAGAACGAGUGGAUAUAUUUAUCGGGCACUUUCAAACAUGCUGUCCAAGAGCCCUUGCCUGUAUGUUCUGACUCGGUCCGGGGUGAAACUCAAGCUGCUGACCUUGGCAAGAAGAAGUGCGGUGCUGGCCCAUAAUAACUAUCAGAUGUGAUUCAGGUUCGAGCUGGAACGGGGGAGGGUUCGUCGUUAGUGGGGGUGGUGUAUAUAGGAGAAGGAGGAGGAAGAGUGAAGAAGAAGAAGAGGAGGGGGAAGAGAUUGUAAAUACUCUUGUAAUAAAAGGGGGUUUGGUAAUGUAAGACGACAGGCUUUAUAUCGGCAAAGUCGCACGCGUACAGCGAGCAGCCGGUCGGGCAUCCUCUGAGGAGACACAAUGGGGGUGGAAAGAUGCUUCGCGCUCGGAAGCCGCCACAAAAGCCACGGAUGGGAAAAGGGGAGAGAAGACGGGAGACAUAGUGGCUCUUGUGACUGAAGAGAAGACGGGAGGAAGGAGCGAGCGACCUCGGCGUUGGUGGAGGGAGCAUGGAGUUGCGCUUCAUGCGAGAGCCCGGAGAUUCGCUCACUGACCGAAGAGGACGCGCACUUAAUACGGGGGGUGGUGGUGGUGGUGGUGGUGGUGUGGAGAGAGGCAGGCCAGGAGGAUGAGGAGGGGGGACUGGGGGUGAUGGUAGAGAGACAGAGAGAAAGACAAGGAGAGAGAAAGUCGCCGGAGGAGUGGCGGAGGAGGUUCAACGUCAAGGGGGAAAUGCAUGACCAUUUAAGAGAUUCCCGUCGACCGUAUCGCCUUGAGAAGCCACCGCCCCAUUAAAGCGGAUUAAGUAACGACUUGUAUGAACAAGUGCGUUGACUUUCAAUAAUACACAUUUCUAGUUUAUUCCAUGCGUGAUACCCUUGGCAUUAUUACACUUUCAUUCAAAUCACUGCAAGCCCAUCCAAACUAUAUGGACCAACAAGUUUAAGGGACCCCGACCAUACAAUCCUGACUGGUAGCCACGGUUAAAAAGUGCGUCAUUUUACAGCUCCCCAAAUCCAACGCACGCUAACAUUGACCUCUCGCCCUAUACCCGCUCCAUCUAUUUUACUAUACAAAAUAUCCGCAUUUCUCUUCCUCCAAUCUCUCUCUUCAUCCUCACCUGCCACUUUACACUUUCUCCAUCACACGUAAACGCGCGUGCACGCAGGGGAUUGCUCGCAGCCUGCAGACCUCGGACGUAUGGAAAGCGCACUGGGCUUUCUCCAUAUGGAAAUUGGAAACGCACUGCCCGUCAUAAAUCAGACUUUACAAUUGUGCGGCGCAGAGAAAGCUCCCGUGCAGGCGCGCGCGCAUGUUUGCAUGUUGAUUUCAAUGCAUGAUCUUGGACUUUGGCAAAAAAUAGCUUCAUACAUGCAGGUAGUUAUUGUAAAUCUGAUAUUCAACAUCCCAUUAAUCACUUCAGCCCUUUUGGUCCGAAGAUCUUAGUCGCCCAUGUUAAAUUCAAGAGUGCACAGUGGCGUUGGUUGUUGUCAAACUAUAAGCACAUGCGGAGAAGUGUGCGCGUGUGUGUGUGCGCGCGUGUGCGUGUGUUGUGUGUGUGUGUGUCGUAAGGGACGUGAAAAAAGCUGAGAGACAACAGAGCAUCAGACCGAUGACGGUCACAUGGGCGCCUUCCUCUGCACGCACGGCAGCUCCGGGGAAAUUGAGUAACUGGGGGCGCAUUUCAAUAUAUGGAAAUGACCAGGGGGCCCCUGAGAUAAAUCAGCUCCACAUACACCCCCCACCGCAUUCACCCCCUCGUGCUCUUCUUUACACCUUCAUUUCUCUCUUGCUCUCUCGGGUCGCUGCAGUCUAUAUUGUUUUGAAAUCUAUCCCAAAAUCUGCUUCAAGAGACUUUAAUGGAUUUAUUACACCUAUAACGUGAAUAUAUGCCCCGCUCAAAAAUUUGCUCAUGCAGAUAAGGUGACUUAUGGUGUUUCCUUUUGGUACACUUGUUAAAGUGCGUGUUAAAUGUUUCAGAUACAAUAAAACCAAACUUUAGAUGAUUUUUUAGUUCACAAAUGUUCUGCAUACGGUUUGGAUAUUAGCCUCAAUGGGUUAAAGACUUUUUUCUUUCUUUUUCCCCCCCCAGGUGUCGUCUUAAUUUCUAUGCAGAGCUUCAAAUCCCUGUCACAUCCAGUCUUGCGCUUUGGCAGUGGAAUUUCAUGUGCACACACGCACGCACGUACACUCUCUCACACAUAGAGACACGCGCGCAUCGUCAAUUUUCAGCCAUCCUAAAAGAUUCGCAAAAACGGGGCCAGGCUGGAUUUUACAGCGAACUAUUAUCACGUCGCUGGAUGUGCGCACACGUCGCUGCGUCUGGCUGGUGGUAUUAGAUGAAAUCAAGCGGGAUUACGCAGCCAUGGAACAAAUUACCCCCCCCCCCCCCCCCCCCCCCAUCCAAACACACACACACACACGAUGCGAGAUCGAAGUUCAGGACAUUUAUACACGUAUGCAGUGAAUGUUAUUUAUCAUUUUAUCUCUUUUUUUUGACAGAACUUAAAUUCACUUCAUCGCAAAACGGACAAAGUGAAAGUGCCGCUCGUUAUCUCACACCAGGGCCACACAACAUCAGAUGGUGCAACCCAACUCUUCCUAUCAAGUCCCAGGCUAGCCUCCAUCACCACUAUCCAUCUGCCUCUAAUGCACGGGCACGUUUAUGGCCGCCGUUAGUUAAGUCGUUGUUAAUUUUACACUAACUGGUUGUUAUGAAGAUGAAUGACGAGGCGGGAAUGACACGCUUGGGACCUUUGCGUUGCAAGAUAGAGCCCGGCAGUAGAGCAUAUAAGGAGGUAGUAAAGUGUAUUCUGAUGUUAAACACGACUGCGUUUAAAUGACCGCAUACGCCUUGGAUAAUAUGAGGUUAGGCAGUUCAACAAUUUAAAGCAUUCCGAAGUCUUUUUUUUUUUUUUAAACCAAUCCAGCACAAACGGUGUAUUUAUUUGAAUGUAUUAUUAAUGGUCACAUUAUUCCUCUAUAUGCAUGUACCUUAACAAAUACACUGAGCGGGACUAGUCAGGUGUUGAUAAAGCAACGAUGGAUUGUGCUGUUAAAUAAUAGGAGUAGUGGAUUUACUAGAUCGGAGGUGGCAUUGAACAGGAGUAAACGCGGACUGGAGUUCCCUCUAGUGGCCACUUACCGUUAGUGUAUGAGAAAGGGGCCUUAACGAGCUCCUGUCCAUUCCGAAGCAUCAACUCCAAAUCAAUGGCACCAAUAAGUUUCAGUCUAGAAUUAAGUCAUUAAAAUACAAGUUAUGGUUGUCCAACACAGUGUUAAACCCAACACUGUCUAUCGAGGGUCAUUGUCCUGUUUGUUUUCCACGUUUUUUUUAUUGGAGCAAACCUGAUAGGUUCAUUAUCAAGCGUCUUCAAAUCCUUGAAUGAUUUGAACCGGGUGCGAUGCAGCAGGAUGAUAAAUAGGUAGGACCGGGAGCAGGACAUGUAUACUGUCAAUAUGUUUUUUUGCAUCCUCGACCAAAACAAUAGCUAUAGUGUAAUUGAUGAAAGAGGAAUAAGAAUAAACAGACAGACAGACAGACAGACAGACAGACAGACAGACAGACAGACAGACAGACAGACAGACAGACAGACAGACAGAACUACAACACGGACAAAAUAUACACACUUAGCCACCUCAUAUACAUAUACAUAUAUUUCUGAUAGUAAAAAAGUUUUAAUUUAUUAUUAUUAUUAUUAUUAUUAUUAUUAUUAUUAUUAUUAUUAUUAUUAUUAUUAUUAUUAUUAUUAUUAUUAUUAUUAUUAUUCAGUUUCCAAAUCAUAUGAUUGCACAAGAAAUUGCAGCGGAGGAAAUCCGCAACAGUCCAAAGAACACUGUUUCUACCUUGGAACGGUUGCACGCAGUCGUACCUCAGAGAGUUUAGUGAUAAAUCAUGUAUUUUUAAUGAAUAUCAAUAGAAGGAGUAUCCCCCCCCACCCCCUUUCCCAAAAGGCAGGAGCCGGGCUAUCUAAUUAGAUUAAGCGGCGGUGCGGGGGGAACAGCGCGGUAAUGACGGCUGUAUCACGGCCGCCACUUUCUAAUGGGCUCUGAAGCAAACUAGGGGGCCUUUCAAACCAUUAACACCGAGGGGGGAAAUAACAAAUCUAAUCUGACAUGACACCCUUCUGUUUCAGUCUGCCUCUUAACCAGAAAGCCUCCAUUACUGGCAAAGUCCCUGCGUCUAAUGCCAUCUGACUCCCCGACUUGUGUGUUCAUGUAGCGCAUCUCUGGAGACCAAGAGGACCUAUUAUUAUCAUAAUUGACCAAUUAUAGGUUACACUCUUAAUGUUUGUUUACACAUGCACAACCCCCGUAAAACAUUAAUCGUGCAAUAAACAGUGCAUUGGAUUAUUGAGUAUUUUUUCAUUAUUGUUUUUAAUUAUUUUUAAUGGGAAAUUUGCACGUGAUAAUUUAAAUUCUGGGAAUGUAGCAUAUAAAUCAAAGAAUACACAACCACAAUAGGUCUUACAAUUUAUAAAGGGGCAAUCUGAGGUUUGGUGAACUCCAGAAAGUUUGAUGCAUGAAGAUAGAUGUUCAUCUGCGUAAAAUAGCAAUUUGGAAAAUAAAAUUUGGAGUCUAACACCGUUUACACACAUCCGGACUAAUAAUGCAAUGGACGUUUAGCCAAGUCUUUUUUUUUAAUGCAAGCCAGCAAAAUCAUCUUGGACCGCAUUGCUCACCUGUAAGUAUUUCUACAUUAACCUAUCUCUCUGACAGACGAAGCAUAUUUAAAGGCAGAGUUAAAUUGUUGCCAUGCACAUAAUUGUAAAUAUUUUCUGCUAAAGUCUUGCAGCAUUUUUUCAACGUAUAAGUAAAUACAAUUCAGGAAAAUAAUGUAUCAUAUUUUUCAUUAAUGUAAACGAAAUAUGUAAACCAUGCAAGUUUCAAACAGGCUAUUGUCAAUAUAUACAGUCACGCACGCCGACUACUCCUAGAACCAAUCGGCUAUUUCAUAUAGUCAUCAUCUGUGAUGCAUUGCAGCACGCACCAUUGCAGUAAGCACACCGAUCCAAGAAAUAUGAUAAACAAAAGUAUUGUUGAACAAGCACGAAAUUAUUCAAGCGAAAUGUCGAUUACGGGAUAUUUGUGUUGUGUUGCAGUCGUUUUUAAUAUAUCUUAAAUACUUAAUGUAGACAACGCUGUCCUGUGCCAUAAUUGUUGAUAAAUAAACAUGAUACAUUUCUGCUAUAAAUAAGUUAAUAAUCCCAAAUGUAAAGCAAAGAAAACAAAAAAAUCUAUAUAAAUAUCCAAUUUUGAAAGCUUUUUUUAAAGGGAGCGGUCAAGUGCGCAAUCUGAUUUGCUCGCUCAACGUUUUAAAAAGGUUUAUGUUCUGAAUGACCACAUUUGACCUAUUUGUUGCUCAGUCAUAUGAAAUCCCAAAAUUCAUUUAUAAUUUAAAAAAAAUGUUGCCAUCACCUUCAUCUUCUCCUUCCAACGGUUUUUGUUUCAUUAAAAAAGUGAGGACGAGUAUUGUCCCUGUUUUCCAAUACCAAUGUCCAAUCACGCCACGAGGUGGCAAUAAAGAGCUUUGAAGCGACUUCUCAGCGUGCAGCUUUGCAGCAUGGAGGUCCAGAGUGGCAGAGGCCGACAGUGAGGCGGCAAUCAGUCAUCUCCCAAGCCAUCAAGCUCCUACACUCAACAAGACUGAUGAUGACCACGCCAUAAAACUGUUGGCGAUGAUGCUCACGUGGAUGGUGAAAAUCUGGAACUCUAGCGUCUCGGCAACAUUUUAAUAAUUGCCAUUUUACAAUUUAUGCUGUACGCUUUAUGGUUUUAAUGGUCUAAAACGGUGCUUGCCAAACUUUUUGCAUCAAGUACCACCUAAAAAAAAAAAAAAACUUAUUAAAGCUCUCAGAGUCCCAAGACCCACAUUAAAAUAAUGGCAUUUUGCCCCGCAAAGUUUGAGAUAGUGCAAUUCCAUCUACUCGUUCAUGUGUAGCCAAUACGUUUGCUGAUUCAUUUAUUUUUUUAAUUUUAAUAUUUUUUUUGUCGCUGCCAAACGUUGCACAUUUCCAUCCUUUUAUCAGAAAUAUAGUGCAAAUGACAAAUGUAUUCGCUUCCCAAGGAAAUGUUUUUGCACUCAUAAAAUUUUAGGUCAUACUGAUACAAUUAAAAUGACUUGCACGUAAAAAUUAAUUGAAAAAUACCUUAGGUUUCAUUUGUGACUAUAAUUCCAUCUAUUACAGUUUUUAUCGCAAUCUUGACGGUUUUCUUGCUAUGUAUGGCUUGCCUUCGCAUGAUCAGUACCAUGGACAGCUCAUCUCUCCUGCCCCUCCCGUUCCGUCGGCUGCAUUUACGCCGAUUGACCGCACCUCCGGCUCAUUUCUACACCUGCUCCCGACUUGUUAGCCGCCCUAUAUAAACCCCGCACACCCAGCACUCUGUUUCAAUUCCUUCUGUUGCCCUACCUGUUGUCUGGCCCAAGUUGCUAUCCUGUAUGCUUCUCGUGUUGCUCCCUGUUGUCCAGCUUUCCAGAUAAAAUCCAUUCUGCACAUGGUCGCCCUGUCUCCGCCCAUGACAAAUUAUCUUCCUUUUACAUUGAACCAGUCAAGAAAUUACAAUUUUUGAAGGGUCAUUUUUACAAAAACUGAGACCAUGAACAUAAGCACACUGCUUCACUCAGACUGUUUGGGAACUUGGAACGUUGUUCAAAUGUGCUGUUUAGCUAUUCAGAGUGCUUCCAAAAAUUGAGCCCAGGAAGGUGUGCUCUUCUGCUUUCUUCUUUAUGUUUACUGCUUUGCCUUACUGUUUUUAAAUAGUAAUACUAUUUUAACGUAGUUGUAUUAAAACAUGGGAAAUACUGUA
Syngnathus typhle (broad-nosed pipefish) is the source of this 6868-nucleotide long non-coding RNA. RefSeq lists it as uncharacterized. The transcript has 2 exons. Lineage: Eukaryota; Metazoa; Chordata; Actinopteri; Syngnathiformes; Syngnathidae. The record is from RefSeq and is a predicted model, not a curated record.